This is a long non-coding RNA of Nanorana parkeri, 248 nucleotides long. RefSeq lists it as uncharacterized. Lineage: Eukaryota; Metazoa; Chordata; Amphibia; Anura; Dicroglossidae. The record is from RefSeq and is a predicted model, not a curated record. The transcript is spliced from 3 exons.
UGGCCAUCAUUUGUGUAUUUCCUUUUGUGAUACUUGUUGGAUACUUUAUUUGUAAAAGGAAGAAAAGACCGAAGAGGAGAAUCUUACAGAAAAAUGAACAAGAAUCUCUGGAACUUAAUCACCAAAAUGAAGAGUAUAAUAAUGAUGCCGAUGAGAACUCUUCUAGCAAUUCUGUGACAUGGGCUAUCUCAACACUUUACGAGUCAUUUGACUACUUUGCAAUGAAGAACAAAGAUGAGAAACCCGUA